Pseudomonas aeruginosa PAO1 is the source of this 122-nucleotide regulatory RNA element. It matches the Rfam family "Pseudomonas rpsL leader". The record is from Rfam. NCBI's taxonomy places the organism in Bacteria, Pseudomonadati, Pseudomonadota, Gammaproteobacteria, Pseudomonadales, Pseudomonadaceae.
AGCCGGGGCUUUGUCUUGACGGUGUACAAGAACCUCUUUACUAUUUUGUACCCCGAAAAUUGGCAGGGCGCACGCUCUGUCAUUUCGUUUGUGUGUCGUAAGACAAUCAGUGGAGCUAUAGA